ACUCCUGCGGGAGGCAGCAGUGAGGAAUAUUGGACAAUGGGUGGAAGCCUGAUCCAGCCAUCCCGCGUGCAGGAAGACGGCCCUAUGGGUUGUAAACUGCUUUUAUCUGGGGAUAAACCUACUUACGUGUAAGUAGCUGAAGGUACCAGAAGAAUAAGCACCGGCUAACUCCGUGCCAGCAGCCGCGGUAAUACGGAGGGUGCAAGCGUUAUCCGGAUUUAUUGGGUUUAAAGGGUCCGUAGGCGGACUGAUAAGUCAGUGGUGAAAUCCGACAGCUUAACUGUCGAACUGCCAUUGAUACUGUUAGUCUUGAGUAAGGUUGAAGUGGCUGGAAUAAGUAGUGUAGCGGUUAAAUGCAUAGAUAUUACUUAGAACACCAAUUGCGAAGGCAGGUCACUAAGUCUUAACUGACGCUGAUGGACGAAAGCGUGGGGAGCGAACAGGAUUAGAAACCCCAGUAGUCCCAUGAU
Molecule: ribosomal RNA, 470 nt
Filed under: uncultured organism
Description: partial 16S ribosomal RNA
Rfam family: Bacterial small subunit ribosomal RNA
Source: RNAcentral